AGAUUGAACGCUGGCGGCAGGCCUAACACAUGCAAGUCGAGCGGCAGCACGGGUACUUGUACCUGGUGGCGAGCGGCGGACGGGUGAGUAAUGCCUAGGAAUCUGCCUGGUAGUGGGGGAUAACGCUCGGAAACGGACGCUAAUACCGCAUACGUCCUACGGGAGAAAGCAGGGACCUUCGGGCCUUGCGCUAUCAGAUGAGCCUAGGUCGGAUUAGCUAGUUGGUGAGGUAAUGGCUCACCAAGGCGACGAUCCGUAACUGGUCUGAGAGGAUGAUCAGUCACACUAGGAACUGAGACACGGUCCAGACCUCCGACGGGAGCAGCGAGGUGGGAAUAGUUGGACAAGUGGGACAAAGCCUAGACUCCAGCC
This 372-nucleotide ribosomal RNA is filed under the name uncultured soil bacterium. RNAcentral's name for it is "bacterial SSU rRNA". It matches the Rfam family "Bacterial small subunit ribosomal RNA", at positions 26 to 393 of the family's 1533-position model. The record is from RNAcentral.